This 1542-nucleotide ribosomal RNA is filed under the name Arthroleptis poecilonotus (West African screeching frog). RNAcentral's name for it is "16S ribosomal RNA". It matches the Rfam family "Bacterial large subunit ribosomal RNA", at positions 378 to 2925 of the family's 2925-position model. Lineage: Eukaryota; Metazoa; Chordata; Amphibia; Anura; Arthroleptidae. The record is from RNAcentral.
ACCGUAAACUCCGCCCACAAAUUUAACAUCUAAUAUACUGUAUAAAACAUUUAAACAAUUUAGUAAAGGUGAUUAAAAAUUUAAUAAGAGCUACACAUAUAGUACCGCAAGGGAAAAGUGAAAUAGAAAUGAAAUAAAUUUAAAGUCAAUAAAAGCAGAGAUCAACACCCGUACCUUUUGCAUCAUGGUCUAGCUAGUCUAAACAAGCAAAUUAUAAUAUUCAACUUGUACCCCCGAAACCAGACGAGCUACUUAAAAACAGCUACUAGAGCCAACUCAUCUCUGUUGCAAAAGAGUGAGAAGAUUUUUAAGUAGAGGUGACAUGCCUACCGAGCCUGGAGAUAGCUGGUUGCUCAAAAAAGAACUUUAGUUCCCCCUCAAAUCUUAACAUGUAAUACUAAAUAUAUAUUUGAGAGCUAUUCAAAUAAGGUACAGCCUAUUUGAUACAGGAUACAACCUAAAAUUAAGGGUUAAAUACUUCCAACACCUAAGUAGGCCUAAGAGCAGCCACCUUUAAAAUAGCGUUAAAGCUUAAUCUGAUUACUGUUAUAAUAAUUUUCUAAAUACCAAACCCACCCACAAUAUUGAGCACCUCUAUAAUUUAUAAAUGUUAUUAUGCUAGAACUAGUAACAAGAAAAUUCUUCUCCUAAAUGUAAGUAUACAUCAAAUGAUAUUUAUUAUUUUUAAAUGUAGUAAAACCUCACCGAAAUCUUUACUAAUCUACUUUAUUAAACUUACACCAGAACACUACAGGAAAGAUUAAAACAAAAAGAAGGAACUCGGCAAACCCUAGUCUCGCCUGUUUACCAAAAACACCGCCUCUCGAUUAAUUAUAAGAGGCCCAGCCUGCCCAGUGAUAAUUUCAACGGCCGCGGUAUCCUAACCGUGCAAAGGUAGCACAAUAACUUGUUCUUUAAAUAAGGACUAGUAUGAAUGGCAUCACGAAGACUAUACUGUCUCCUUUCUACAAUCAGUGAAACUGAUCUUCCCGUGAAGAAGCGGGAAUUUAUAUAUAAGACGAGAAGACCCCAUGAAGCUUCAAAUUAAGUAUCACCUGCUACCAUAACAACACCUAAAUCUAGCAGACCUUAUAUUAAUUUUAGGUUGGGGUGACCACGGAGCAUAAUAAAGCCUCCCUAAUGAAAAGACUUAAUCUCCUAAUACAAGAAUAACAAUUCUAAUAAUCAACACAUUGACAUAACUUGAUCCAAUCUUUGAUCAAUGAACUAAGUUACUCUGGGGAUAACAGCGCAAUCCAUUUCAAGAGCCCCUAUCGACAAAUGGGUUUACGACCUCGAUGUUGGAUCAGGGUAUCCUAGUGGUGCAACCGCUACUAAAGGCUCGUUUGUUCAACGAUUAAAACCCUACGUGAUCUGAGUUCAGACCGGAGCAAUCCAGGUCGGUUUCUAUCUAUAUAUUUAAGCCUUUUCCAGUACGAAAGGACCGAAAAAGCACGGCCUAUGCAUAAGCAAGCCGUAACACCUCCCAUAAUGUUAUCUACUAAAUUAUAUAGGAAUUAUAUUAUAUCUCUAAACUAGAGC